ACCACCUGGCCUCUAAGGCUGACUAGUGUGGCUGUUUUGUAUUCUGGUCUUCAGGAAAACUUCAUUUAUUAAAAUACAAAUGAAAUAUCACUACAUCAUACUUUUGCUCCUUCCUUCUGCUUUGGCCUUUGAAGUGCUGGAAUUCUAGCUAUAUGCCAUCAUAUCUGGUAUGGAUAUUUCUGGGCCUAAAGUUUACAGAUAAAACUACACGUAUGGCAAUAAUAGAAAACCUCAUGAAAUUUAGAAACAUUAAAAACACUGCUCAGUAGAGGGAAAAAGAACAGUGACAAGAAAUUCCUACAAGCAUCUCACUAAGCUAAACGGGUAACUCACACUUCACUAAAAACAGUGUGGCCCAAGUAAGAACAGUCAAGUCAGGAUUACAGUGAUUACCACACCUGUUAACUUUCAGCCUGUACUUUAUACAGAUUAAUUUUUAAAAGCUCAGCAUUUCAAGAAUUUUACCUACUCCUGUACAAAGAUAUACUUAACUGUGAUUUUUAAAUGAUUUAUUUGAUAACACCAUUAAGUAAGUACCUUAGCUGGAAAAAAUAUUUCUUCCUGCUUCUACAACUGAGACCUAACCUCUGGCAACAUAGUUAUUUUUAAUAUUAUAUAAUACAAUAAAGCUUAUAAUACUAUAGAAAAGUUUACACAAGUAAAACUUUUUCUACAAAACCCAAUAUUUCCUUAUUUUAACUGAGUUCCAUUGGAAUCAUGUGAAACCUCUCCCAUAAAACUGUUACUUUGUGUGUGCUAUGUGCAUGUGUACCUAACUGUAUGCAUGUGCCUGUGCAGGUCAGAGGGCAAUCUUGGAUGUCAUCAAAAAUACCAUCUACUUUAAGACAAGAUUUUUCAUGGCCCUGGAGCUUGCUGAGUGGGCUCUGCUCCCCAGCCAACAGCCACCCCAGUGCGGGGAUCGCUUUGUUUCUAUGAUGAAGACCAACUUAUCUUGGACUAACCCAGGCUCUGGUCACCCCACUUGGGAACACUCACCUUGUCAUCAUGUGGAUCAUCUACAGCCAAGUCGUGUAUGUCCUGAGUCAGAACCUGAAGGGACGGUGGCUCCUUCUUAACAACAUCGAGAGCCCGCUGUCCCCCCCUGGGCUUCUGUGGCUGCUUCAUCACAGGCUCGUCUUUCCCUUUUCCUUUCUUCCCCUUCUUCCCUUUUUCUUCUUUGUUUGAACCUGCAGACUUUCAAUUCAUAAGGGGGAAAGCAUCAAUGUAAUUAUUAAUAAUACAAAGGUUUUUAAAUAAUUUUACUUUAAUGUUUUGACUCUUAGCUUUUGUUUUUCCUUACAAUUGUGUGUACGCUUAUGAGUGUAGGGUAUCCAUGCCAUAAUAUACAUGUGGAAUUCAGAGGAUGUCAUGUAGGAAAGUUUUCUCUUUUGAACAUGUGGGUUCUGGGAACUGAAUUCAGGUUGCCAGGCUUGGUGGAAAGUAAAGUGCCUCACUGGCCCAAAUAAUGUUAAAUUUUUUUUCUUGAUUUUUUUGAGACAGGGUUUCUCUGUAGCUCUGGAGCCUGUCCUGGAACUAGCUCUUGUAGACCAGGCUGGCCUUGAACAAUGUUAAGGUUCUUAAUGUUUAUCAUAGCCUAGAUGCCCACUGAAAAGCAAGAGAAAUAAUUUAAGAUGUUACUCACUGCUAGCAAUUUCAUAAUAAGUUCACGAUCUUCUUCAUCCUGGUCUUUGUAUUUUUCCUUCAUUUUUUUCAUUUUACUCUGAAAUCAAAAGAUUUGAAAAAAGCAAUAAACAGUAAUUUUUAAA
Long non-coding RNA from Arvicola amphibius (Eurasian water vole), 1766 nucleotides. RefSeq lists it as uncharacterized. Lineage: Eukaryota; Metazoa; Chordata; Mammalia; Rodentia; Cricetidae. The transcript has 2 exons. The record is from RefSeq and is a predicted model, not a curated record.